UACAGGGGGUGCAAACGUUGCUCGGAAUCAUUGGGCGUAAAGCGCACGUAGGCGGUUCGUUAUGUCGGAUGUGAAAGCCCUUGGCUUAACCGAGGAAGUGCAUCCGAAACUGGCGAGCUAGAGUACUAAAGAGGAUCGCGGAAUUCCCGGUGUAGAGGUGAAAUUCGUAGAUAUCGGGAGGAACACCGGUGGCGAAGGCGGCGAUCUGGGUAGACACUGACGCUGAGGUGCGAAAGCAUGGGGAGCGAACAGG
RNAcentral lists this ribosomal RNA (253 nucleotides) under uncultured bacterium. Its description in RNAcentral is "partial 16S ribosomal RNA". It matches the Rfam family "Bacterial small subunit ribosomal RNA", at positions 524 to 776 of the family's 1533-position model. The record is from RNAcentral.